This 310-nucleotide unclassified non-coding RNA is filed under the name plant metagenome. RNAcentral describes it as "partial contains 5.8S ribosomal RNA, internal transcribed spacer 2, and large subunit ribosomal RNA". The stretch from base 1 to 105 matches the Rfam family "5.8S ribosomal RNA", at positions 50 to 154 of the family's 154-position model. The record is from RNAcentral.
GAAAUGCGAUAAGUAGUGUGAAUUGCAGAAUUCAGUGAAUCAUCGAAUCUUUGAACGCACAUUGCGCCCCUCGGUAUUCCGUGGGGCAUGCCUGUUCGAGCGUCAUCUACACCCUCAAGCUCUGCUUGGUGUUGGGCGUCUGUCCCGCCUCCUUCGCGCGCGGACUCGCCCCAAAUCCAUUGGCGGCGGCCCUUGCCUCCCUCUCGCGCAGCACAUUGCGCUUCUCGAGGCGCGGCGGAUCGCGUCCAGCAAGCAACCGUCACACCGUCUUUGACCUCGGAUCAGGUAGGGAUACCCGCUGAACUUAAGC